This 257-nucleotide long non-coding RNA is filed under the name Lathyrus oleraceus (garden pea). RNAcentral describes it as "Pisum sativum (pea) long non-coding RNA (PSAT_LNC028959)". The record is from RNAcentral. Lineage: Eukaryota; Viridiplantae; Streptophyta; Magnoliopsida; Fabales; Fabaceae.
ACUUAAUUAAUUCUUUUUCGCACAAUAGUUUCUACACCGGAAACUAUUGUGUACCUUUCACCGGAUCUAACCUUAUGUUAGAAUCUAGUUUUUUAUUCCUUCGCUUUUAUUUUUCUGUUUGAUUGAAGAAUUCAAGAACAAAUCCAACCGGUCUGUGGUGGAGUGUUCAAGACUGCUGUUAAUUACUCAGGUUCUUUAAUUAUUGUUUGAAUUUAUAUAUGCCCUGCUUUACUGUUUACUUAUAUUAUUUGCCUGAG